AGUGAACGCUGGCGGUAGGCCUAACACAUGCAAGUCGAACGGCAGCACAGUAAGAGCUUGCUCUUACGGGUGGCGAGUGGCGGACGGGUGAGGAAUACAUCGGAAUCUACUUUUUCGUGGGGGAUAACGUAGGGAAACUUACGCUAAUACCGCAUACGACCUACGGGUGAAAGCAGGGGAUCUUCGGACCUUGCGCGAUUGAAUGAGCCGAUGUCGGAUUAGCUAGUUGGCGGGGUAAAGGCCCACCAAGGCGACGAUCCGUAGCUGGUCUGAGAGGAUGAUCAGCCACACUGGAACUGAGACACGGUCCAGACUCCUACGGGAGGCAGCAGUGGGGAAUAUUGGACAAUGGGCGCAAGCCUGAUCCAGCCAUACCGCGUGGGUGAAGAAGGCCUUCGGGUUGUAAAGCCCUUUUGUUGGGAAAGAAAAGCAGCAGGUUAAUACCCCGCUGUUCUGACGGUACCGAAAGAAUAAGCACCGGCUAACUACGUG
Molecule: ribosomal RNA, 492 nt
Filed under: uncultured bacterium
Lineage: Bacteria
Description: partial 16S ribosomal RNA
Rfam family: Bacterial small subunit ribosomal RNA
Source: RNAcentral